GCCCUGGUUGAUUAAUGGUAAAUCACCCACACCCCUUAAAUGAAGAUGCUAGGACGGAUUGAGGUGGGAGAUGGAGGUUCGAAUCCUCCCGAGGACA
Mycena rebaudengoi is the source of this 97-nucleotide non-coding RNA. Lineage: Eukaryota; Fungi; Basidiomycota; Agaricomycetes; Agaricales; Mycenaceae. The record is from the annotation of a GenBank genome assembly.